AAAAAAAAAUGAGUUUGAUUCUGGCUCCGAAUGAACGCUAGGGGUAGGCUUAACACAUGCAAGUCGAACGUGAUCGAAAGAGAAAGUGGCGAAGAGGUGAGUAAAACACAUGAAUUUUAAUAAUAAACCUGAAAAGAAAAAAAGAAGAAAAUACGGGAUAGAAAGAAAGAGGAACUUGAAAAAAAGGAAGACUCGUUAUUAUAAAAGCGUGUGCUGGAUUAGGUAGUUGGUGGGGUAAAAGCCUACCAAGCCAGAGAUCCAUAGGUGGCUCGAGAGGGUGAACAUCCACAUUGGUAUUGAAAAAAAGACCAAACUCGAAAGAGGCAGCAGUGAGGAAUA
RNAcentral lists this ribosomal RNA (339 nucleotides) under Dictyostelium purpureum. RNAcentral describes it as "partial small subunit ribosomal RNA". It matches the Rfam family "Bacterial small subunit ribosomal RNA", at positions 1 to 363 of the family's 1533-position model. The record is from RNAcentral. Lineage: Eukaryota; Evosea; Eumycetozoa; Dictyosteliales; Dictyosteliaceae.